GCCGGGUGUGGUGGCGGGCGCCUGUAGUCCCAGCUACUCGGGAGGCUGAGGCAGGAGGAUGGCGUGAAUCCAGGAGGUGGAGCUUGCAGUGAGCCAAGAUUGUGCCACUGCACUCCAGCCUGGGUGACAGCGCGAGACUCUGUCUCAA
This is an unclassified non-coding RNA of Papio anubis (olive baboon), 148 nucleotides long. It matches the Rfam family "Metazoan signal recognition particle RNA". From Rfam's summary of the family: The signal recognition particle (SRP) is a universally conserved ribonucleoprotein. Lineage: Eukaryota; Metazoa; Chordata; Mammalia; Primates; Cercopithecidae. The record is from Ensembl.